RNAcentral lists this ribosomal RNA (735 nucleotides) under Halonotius pteroides. RNAcentral describes it as "bacterial SSU rRNA". It matches the Rfam family "Archaeal small subunit ribosomal RNA", at positions 52 to 790 of the family's 1478-position model. Lineage: Archaea; Methanobacteriati; Methanobacteriota; Halobacteria; Halobacteriales; Haloferacaceae. The record is from RNAcentral.
UGCUAGUCGAACGAGUUCACACUCGUGGCACAUAGCUCAGUAACACGUGGCCAAGCUACCCUUCAGUCGGCAAUACCCUCGGGAAACUGAGGCUAAUAGCCGAUACGAAACAGACGCUGGAAUGCACUGUAUUCCAAAGACAUCGCUGAAGGAUGCGGCUGCGGCCGAUUAGGUAGACGGUGGGGUAACGGCCCACCGUGCCAGUAAUCGGUACGGGUGAUGAGAGUCAGAGCCCGGAGACGGAAUCUGAGACAAGAUUCCGGGCCCUACGGGGCGCAGCAGGCGCGAAACCUUUACACUGCACGAAAGUGCGAUAGGGGAAUCCCAAGUGCGAGGGCAUAUUAGCCCUCGCUUUUGUUGACUCUAAGGCGGUCAACGAAUAAGAGCUGGGCAAGACCGGUGCCAGCCGCCGCGGUAAUACCGGCAGCUCAAGUGAUGUCCCAUAUUAUUGGGCCUAAAGCGUCCGUAGCUGGCCGACCAAGUCUAUCGGGAAAUCCACCUGCCCAACAGGUGGGCGUCCGGCAGAAACUGUGCGGCUUGGAACCGGAAGGCUCAGAGAGUACGUCCGGGGUAGGAGUGAAAUCCCGUAAUCCCGGACGGACUACCGAUGGCGAAAGCACUCUGAGAAGACGGCUUCGACAGUGAGGGACGAAAGCUCGGGUCUCAAACCGGAUUAGAUACCCGGGUAGUCCGAGCCGUAAACAAUGCUCGUUAGGUGUGGCACCCACUACGAGU